This 156-nucleotide long non-coding RNA is filed under the name Carassius auratus (goldfish). Its description in RNAcentral is "lncRNA (ENSCARG00000057486.1)". The record is from RNAcentral. Lineage: Eukaryota; Metazoa; Chordata; Actinopteri; Cypriniformes; Cyprinidae.
UGAAUCAUGAUGAUUGUGAAUCUGUUUUUCAGUGAGGAAUGAAACUGCAGUGACUCCAAACUCAGAUGAUCUGAAUGAAGUGACUCUCCAUCGUUCAGGUAAACUCCUGUGCUUCUGUGUUUCAGUAUUGAUCAUUUUUAUUGAUCAGAUGUGUAU